CCAUCAGUAUCACCAGAUGAGCCUAUGGCUCUGAAUAAAGCAGCAAGCCAGACAAUGUAAUGAAGUCCAGUAGCAUACCGGACGGGAACAGAAUCGUGAGAGGACGUUCCUCCUGACAACCUCGAGUCGGGUAGAUGC
RNAcentral lists this non-coding RNA (138 nucleotides) under Shewanella benthica. Lineage: Bacteria; Pseudomonadati; Pseudomonadota; Gammaproteobacteria; Alteromonadales; Shewanellaceae. The record is from RNAcentral.